UGGGGAAUUUUGGACCAUGGGGGAAACCCUGAUCCAGCCAUCCCGCGUGUGCGAUGAAGGCCUUCGGGUUGUAAAGCACUUUUGGCAGGAAAGAAACAUCAUGGGUUAAUACCCCGUGAAACUGACGGUACCUGCAGAAUAAGCACCGGCUAACUACGUGCCAGCAGCCGCGGUAAUACGUAGGGUGCAAGCGUUAAUCGGAAUUACUGGGCGUAAAGCGUGCGCAGGCGGUUCGGAAAGAAAGAUGUGAAAUCCCAGAGCUCAACUUUGGAACUGCAUUUUUAACUACCGGGCUAGAGUGUGUCAGAGGGAGGUGGAAUUCCGCGUGUAGCAGUGAAAUGCGUAGAUAUGCGGAGGAACACCGAUGGCGAAGGCAGCCUCCUGGGAUAACACUGACGCUCAUGAACGAAAGCGUGGGGAGCAAACAGG
RNAcentral lists this ribosomal RNA (429 nucleotides) under Acidobacteriota bacterium. RNAcentral describes it as "Acidobacteria bacterium partial 16S ribosomal RNA". It matches the Rfam family "Bacterial small subunit ribosomal RNA", at positions 355 to 776 of the family's 1533-position model. Lineage: Bacteria; Pseudomonadati; Acidobacteriota. The record is from RNAcentral.